GUCGUUGCCACUGUUUUGCGCGGCUACGACCUACCUCCAUCCCGGCGCACCGCCCCUCACCACUCCCCUGCGGUCCUCUGUCCCGGUGCGCUGUCCCUCACCACCCCCUGUGAUCCUUUGUCCCGGUGCACCGUCCCUCGACACCACUCUUGUGCGACCCUGCAUCCUGGCGCGCCGCCCCUCGUCACCGCUCCCCUAAGACCAACGAUGGAUCCAAGGAACAUCACGUCAAUUCAUAUAACCUGGGUCUCAAACUCUACUCCAACAAGCAUCUCAGUUUAAAAGUACCUCCUGCAAUUCCCAGUUGGUCCAUCGCCACUAGCCCCAAAGCCUAAUACAAGGGUUAGUGUUGCUAGCUUCAUCACCUUGCUGGUACAGAAGGUCAUGAUUAACAUCAAGCCAUACAUGGUGAUGUUACUGAAAUUACUUUACACUCCUGUUCUGGAGGAAAGGAGUUCUACAGCCAACAGGGCCUUUGCGUCUUCUUGUGCUGCAGUUCUCAAAUAUGCCAGCCAAUCUCAGGCUCAGAAACUUAUUAAAGACACUGCUUCUCUGCAUUUAGGGUGGCAAAGCAUUGAUGAAUAUGGUGUCCGCCAAAGGUUUAUGGCCCUGUUUGACAGUAGGUUUUAUUGUUGUUCGUCUGCAUGCUCUUUGAUUCAAGCAGUCUUCUCCAUUAUUGGAGAACACAAGGAUUAAGUCCUGCUUCCACUUAUGAUGUGGGAUGAAGGUUUUGUGUGUAGCUCUGACCAAACUACAACCCCUCCAAAGUCAGAUGCUGGCAUUUAAGUUCGUUCUUCAUCAGUUUUAAUGCCAAGUAUUCAUCAGUUUUAUGUAUCCAACCCGGUCAACUAAGUUCCAAGUAUUUUCAUCAGGUGAAUGGCAAGGGAUGUUGGGGUUCAUAUGAUUUACAUAUAGAUAAAAACUCAAAUUUUCCUCCCGUAGCAGUUACUUCCAUGUACUUCUAGAAUUAUGAAUAUCAUAUAAUUAGUUGAUCAGGCAGUACUAUUAUGAAAUACAAUCUACUGUAUAAAGUACUUAUUAACUAAAUUUAAUCUACUUCCUCUGAUUUAUGUCAAUGAUUUUUUUUAAAGAUGGUGCUACAUAUUUGUUUGUUGGUCAUGGACCUCAACAAUCCAGCGUUUCCCAUAUGUUGGUGUCUGAUCGAGGUACAAGCAAAAUUUUGAUUGCUUUGUUUCAGCAGCCUCACUUAGGACUAUUAUCCUUUCAUCUUCCAUAUGGAGGGACUAUAAUACUAGUAUUUAUGAAGCUUUUUCAUAAUUACUUUAUGAGUUCUUUCAUUUCGAUCACAUAUAACUUUCAUUUUCACUAGCAGGUAGGAACUAAAGUGUUCUUGAAGAGCCUACAAAAUCAUAACGGAGAUGCAGUUCUUGCUACAGUUGUAAGUUGUAAUCCUAAAUUUAAACUUGAUGGUGCUGAACUUACAAAUAAAUAAUGGGAAGUGCAUGUCGAUACGGCACUUGUGAAAACUUAAGUCUUGGUACGAAGUCGCAAAAAUUGCAAUAUUCGUGGUAAUGCAGAAAAACAAAGAUUGUACGGCCUUCAACCCUUUGUUG
Molecule: ribosomal RNA, 1574 nt
Filed under: Triticum aestivum (bread wheat)
Lineage: Eukaryota; Viridiplantae; Streptophyta; Magnoliopsida; Poales; Poaceae
Description: partial small subunit ribosomal RNA
Source: RNAcentral